GGCUCAAUAGCUCAGCUGGCUAGAGCGUCCGGUUCAUACCCGGCAGGUCGAUGGUUCGAAUCCGUCUUGAGCCACCA
Molecule: transfer RNA, 77 nt
Filed under: Clostridiales bacterium
Lineage: Bacteria; Bacillati; Bacillota; Clostridia; Eubacteriales
Also listed under: 2 other names
Description: tRNA-Met
Rfam family: tRNA
About the family: Transfer RNA (tRNA) molecules are approximately 80 nucleotides in length.
Source: RNAcentral